Molecule: ribosomal RNA, 489 nt
Filed under: Pseudomonas psychrophila
Lineage: Bacteria; Pseudomonadati; Pseudomonadota; Gammaproteobacteria; Pseudomonadales; Pseudomonadaceae
Description: bacterial SSU rRNA
Rfam family: Bacterial small subunit ribosomal RNA
Source: RNAcentral
GUAAUACCUAGGAAUCUGCCUGAUAGUGGGGGAUAACGUUCGGAAACGGACGCUAAUACCGCAUACGUCCUACGGGAGAAAGCAGGGGACCUUCGGGCCUUGCGCUAUCAGAUGAGCCUAGGUCGGAUUAGCUAGUUGGUGAGGUAAUGGCUCACCAAGGCUACGAUCCGUAACUGGUCUGAGAGGAUGAUCAGUCACACUGGAACUGAGACACGGUCCAGACUCCUACGGGAGGCAGCAGUGGGGAAUAUUGGACAAUGGGCGAAAGCCUGAUCCAGCCAUGCCGCGUGUGUGAAGAAGGUCUUCGGAUUGUAAAGCACUUUAAGUUGGGAGGAAGGGCAUUAACCUAAUACGUUAGUGUUUUGACGUUACCGACAGAAUAAGCACCGGCUAACUCUGUGCCAGCAGCCGCGGUAAUACAGAGGGUGCAAGCGUUAAUCGGAAUUACUGGGCGUAAAGCGCGCGUAGGUGGUUUGUUAAGUUGAAUGU